RNAcentral lists this ribosomal RNA (253 nucleotides) under uncultured bacterium. Its description in RNAcentral is "partial 16S ribosomal RNA". It matches the Rfam family "Bacterial small subunit ribosomal RNA", at positions 524 to 776 of the family's 1533-position model. The record is from RNAcentral.
UACGGAGGGUGCAAGCGUUAUCCGGAUUUACUGGGCUUAAAGGGCGCGUAGGCGGAUAUGUAAGUCAGUGGUGAAAUCUCCGGGCUUAACCCGGAAACUGCCGUUGAUACUAUAUAUCUUGAAUGCUGUGGAGGUAAGCAGAAUAUGUCAUGUAGCGGUGAAAUGCUUAGAGAUGACAUAGAAUACCUAUUGCGAAGGCAGCUUACUACGCAGAUAUUGACGCUCAUGCACGAAAGCGUGGGGAUCAAACAGG